Long non-coding RNA from Nothoprocta perdicaria, 855 nucleotides. RefSeq lists it as uncharacterized. NCBI's taxonomy places the organism in Eukaryota, Metazoa, Chordata, Aves, Tinamiformes, Tinamidae. The record is from RefSeq and is a predicted model, not a curated record. The transcript is spliced from 2 exons.
UCUGUUUGGGUGAAUGCAGCAUCUCUGUAUUAGCCUUUUCCAGUACAGUGGUUGGAAACUCUUAUUUAAACGGUGGCCAGGCCCCAGAAACCGUCAACAUCUUCCUGCGAGGGCCGGCGGAGCAGUGCUCCAGAAGUUGGUUCUGCAGCGGGCAGGACAAGGGAUUUGAGGUGCUGCCGUGGUGGCUUUUCCGCUUCCCUUGCCCCAGGGGGCCAUGCAGCUGAGUGGAGGCAGCGCCGCCUUCUGCGCCGCUGCUGGGAACUCCAGGCGGCUCCGGGCCCUUCCCCGCGGCUUCCAGGAGCAGGGAGCAGUCGGACAGGGCGCGUAACAUCCCUAACCACGGUCACCAGAGCAGCCAAGGGGGGGAAACUGUAAGUAAAAGGCUCUAUAAUCUGUCUGGAGGAGCUGGUGCAAAAGGGAACCUUUGGGCUGGUCUACCUCAAAACUGCUAUUUCUUUAAAUAUCAAAAUAACUAUUACAUUUUCUUAGAAAAUUCAAUAUAUUAAUGACAGAAAGCAAUGUAGAAGUUGGAAGUUCAACAAGGGCAAAGAUGCACUAAAGGUGGAAACUGGCCCCUGACUCAAAGGUGGGAAUGCACCUGACUUCCCUGGAUGCUGGGAAGAUGCUUCUAUUCCUGGCAGAGAGUAACUGGGCUAAAGCAGCAGCGGUGGCUCUAGGGCGGGUGCUGGAAUACACAGCUUGCGCUUGACAGUCUAAAGUUCAAAGCUUCUUUGAACAAUGGGGGCUUUUCUGAGCUGAGGGAAGAGUAUGGUGACAGCUUUUAUUGCUUAGAUAUUAUAUCAGAAGUGAGUCUUUGCUGUGGUGCAAAGAACUAAAUUACUUAAGGGUCCUGGG